CCUACGGGAGGCAGCAGUAGGGAAUCUUCCACAAUGGACGAAAGUCUGAUGGAGCAACGCCGCGUGAGUGAAGAAGGGUUUCGGCUCGUAAAACUCUGUUGGUAGAGAAGAACAAUGAUGGGAGUAACUGUUCUUUACUUGACGGUAUUUAAUUAGAAAGCCACGGCUAACUACGUGCCAGCAGCCGCGGUAAUACGUAGGUGGCAAGCGUUGUCCGGAUUUAUUGGGCGUAAAGCGAGUGCAGGCGGUUUCUUAAGUCUGAU
This 263-nucleotide ribosomal RNA is filed under the name uncultured bacterium. RNAcentral's name for it is "partial 16S ribosomal RNA". It matches the Rfam family "Bacterial small subunit ribosomal RNA", at positions 338 to 593 of the family's 1533-position model. The record is from RNAcentral.